UAUUUCUGUUACCAUGAAUGUGC
Molecule: non-coding RNA, 23 nt
Filed under: Cricetulus griseus (Chinese hamster)
Lineage: Eukaryota; Metazoa; Chordata; Mammalia; Rodentia; Cricetidae
Source: RNAcentral